UGGCGGCCAUAUUGUAUAGAGGAAACACCCUUGAAAGUUUCCGUGUUAGAGAAACAUCGAAUUUUGUUUGUUAGUCAACACAUCGGAUCUCAACAGCGUACGGACCGACGCUGUAACAGUUGUACAAUAUGCAGGCUAUAAAAUGUGUCGUGGUUGGCGACGGUGCGGUGGGUGAGACGUGCU
Molecule: long non-coding RNA, 183 nt
Organism: Priapulus caudatus
Lineage: Eukaryota; Metazoa; Priapulida; Priapulimorpha; Priapulimorphida; Priapulidae
Exons: 4
Source: RefSeq, a predicted model, not a curated record